This 295-nucleotide long non-coding RNA is filed under the name Elaeis guineensis (African oil palm). RNAcentral's name for it is "long non-coding RNA (EGUI_LNC046544)". Lineage: Eukaryota; Viridiplantae; Streptophyta; Magnoliopsida; Arecales; Arecaceae. The record is from RNAcentral.
GGAUUCUAGUUUCCACUAAGAAAUUAGUGUAAUUUCUCAAAUUGGAGGUAGAGACUAUCAAUUUGAAUAAAAUAAUGGAAGAAUCUUUACACUAAAAUCCAUAUUUUUAGGCUUAAUCAAUUCAUAUACUAAUUAGAUUUUGAUUUUUUUUUAUAGUUAUGGCCACCAUCUUAUCGCUCCGAUCACUAUUAGAUAGUGAUAAAUUGAUGGGAUCAAUUUUGAUAGCUGGUAUCGAAAGCUUUAAAGAGUCCUGAAAUAUGAACAGAUCUUGUAUGUAUUGACAAAUCCGACACCC